RNAcentral lists this ribosomal RNA (497 nucleotides) under uncultured bacterium. RNAcentral's name for it is "partial 16S ribosomal RNA". It matches the Rfam family "Bacterial small subunit ribosomal RNA", at positions 28 to 507 of the family's 1533-position model. The record is from RNAcentral.
GAUGAACGCUGGCGGCGUGCCUAAUACAUGCAAGUCGAGCGAACAGACGAGGAGCUUGCUCCUCUGACGUUAGCGGCGGACGGGUGAGUAACACGUGGAUAACCUACCUAUAAGACUGGGAUAACUUCGGGAAACCGGAGCUAAUACCGGAUAGUAUAUUGAACCGCAUGGUUCAAUAGUGAAAGACGGUUUUGCUGUCACUUAUAGAUGGAUCCGCGCCGCAUUAGCUAGUUGGUAAGGUAACGGCUUACCAAGGCAACGAUGCGUAGCCGACCUGAGAGGGUGAUCGGCCACACUGGAACUGAGACACGGUCCAGACUCCUACGGGAGGCAGCAGUAGGGAAUCUUCCGCAAUGGGCGAAAGCCUGAUGGAGCAACGCCGCGUGAGUGAUGAAGGUCUUCGGAUCGUAAAACUCUGUUAUUAGGGAAGAACAAAUGUGUAAGUAACUAUGCACGUCUUGACGGUACCUAAUCAGAAAGCCACGGCUAACUACAUG